RNAcentral lists this unclassified non-coding RNA (210 nucleotides) under plant metagenome. RNAcentral describes it as "partial contains small subunit ribosomal RNA, internal transcribed spacer 1, and 5.8S ribosomal RNA". The record is from RNAcentral.
UUUCCGUAGGUGAACCUGCGGAAGGAUCAUUCAUAUAAAGUGUUUUAUGGCACUUUUUAAAAAUCCAUACCCACCUUGUGUGCAAUGUUAGAUCUCGUCAAUCUUGGCGAGAUUUUUAUACAUCAACUCAUUCUUUAACUAAUUUGUCUGAAAAAUAUUAUGAAUACUUAAUUCAAAAUACAACUUUCAACAACGGAUCUCUUGGCUCUC